CUUACACCUGGUUGGUGUCACAGGAAAAUUACCAGUAAAACUGAAUGUCAUCAGGUUAACUUUGAUGGUGCUGGUUCCUCUGCUUCUUUUGAUUCUGUGUAUGAGGAAGAAGAAACUCUUCAUCUGUGGGACUGAACCCAAUGAACCUGUGGAG
Long non-coding RNA from Mugil cephalus (flathead mullet), 154 nucleotides. RefSeq lists it as uncharacterized. The record is from RefSeq and is a predicted model, not a curated record. The transcript has 3 exons. Lineage: Eukaryota; Metazoa; Chordata; Actinopteri; Mugiliformes; Mugilidae.